AGGACUAACGCUGGCGGCGUGCCUAACACAUGCAAGUCGAACGGGGGUAGCAAUACCCCAGUGGCAGACGGGUGAGUAACACGUGGUCAACCUACCUCUGUGUGGGGGAUAACUAGCCGAAAGGUUAGCUAAUACCGCAUACGAUCGUUUUGAGGCAUCUCGAGACGAUGAAAGGAGCAAUCCGCACGGAGAGGGGACUGCGUCCCAUUAGUUAGUUGGUGGGGUAACGGCAUACCAAGACUCCGAUGGGUAGCUGGCUUGAGAGAGCGACCAGCCACACUGGAACUGAGACACGGUCCAGACUCCUACGGGAGGCAGCAGUGAGGAAUUUUCCGCAAUGGGCGAAAGCCUGACGGAGCGACGCCGCGUGUGGGAUGAAGGCCUUCGGGUCGUAAACCACUGUCGAAGGGGACGAUAUUGACGGUACCCUUGGAGGAAGCCCCGGCUAACUACGCGCCAGCAGCCGC
This 467-nucleotide ribosomal RNA is filed under the name uncultured bacterium. RNAcentral describes it as "SSU rRNA". It matches the Rfam family "Bacterial small subunit ribosomal RNA", at positions 26 to 518 of the family's 1533-position model. The record is from RNAcentral.